Long non-coding RNA from Meriones unguiculatus (Mongolian gerbil), 1338 nucleotides. RefSeq lists it as uncharacterized. Lineage: Eukaryota; Metazoa; Chordata; Mammalia; Rodentia; Muridae. The record is from RefSeq and is a predicted model, not a curated record. The transcript is spliced from 2 exons.
GUGCUCACAGUGUACACAGCCUUUGAGGUAGGGGUUGUAAGAGCUUGUCACUCAGCGCAGGCGCAUCUUUAUGUCCCUGCCUCCGGCCGGUCGCCCUGGGCCUCAAGGCAGCUGGAAGAAGGUGAGGAAGUGUAAGGAUCGGCUCACUGGGAGGAGCUGUGGAAAGCUGAACUUUCGAUGGGAGACCACAGGUGGUGUAGACCGCGCCCCCAGCGGAUUCGAACCAGGGCAGCGAUGGGCAGGCAGAAGCAAGAGUGCACCUGGAGCUGCAGGUGUGUUUGGUGGCCUCCUGUCUUCUCCGGACGGCAAAUAACCUAGUUUUGAUCUGAAUCGGUUUCUGCGGGAUGGGAUCUCCUACAGGACCUGAGACCAAGUUUUGCCUGCAGCCUGAGGGACAGUUGAUGGUGGCCAGCCGGAGCUGAGAAGUUAGCAGUGAUUAAGACGCCAGCAUCAUCACAGUGAAACCUUCUGCAGGCAUCUCCUCAGAGUCAGCACACAGAAGCUGUGGUCCAGGAUGGGUGAGGCUACGUCCCAUGCUGUAGCUGAUCUGGUGAUGUCUAAGAAUCACUCUGGUCCUGCUGGCUCUGAAGGCAUGAAGGGAUCAUGUCAAGCAGCUGAGGCUUGGUCCUGCGUGGCAGGCCUUGAGGUUCUGAAGAGAGACCAGGCGAGGCCAAUGAUAAGGGUGAGCCACAGCCACAGCUGACCCCAGGAUAUUGGAGAUACCAACCAGGACCAUGGAAUGACUGCCAAGGUCAGGGCAGUCAUAGAGUGGAACUAGUCUGAACCCGUGAGAUAAUGUAUGUUCCUUGGAGGGCAGAGUGGAUCUCACCCCAGGCCCUUUGGAGCCCAGAAGAUGUGAGUACGACCCAGACACAAGCACAGAACUUUUUAUACCGUUGAACUUUGGCUUUGCAUUGAUCUAACUGUGACUGUGUCCUGGUUCUUUCUUCUUGAAGAAAGUAUUUAACUUACCUUUUAUUUUACAGGAGCCCACGGUUGAGGGACUUUGGACUUUUGAAAAGACUUUCCAAAAGACAUUUUUUUAAAACUUGGACUUUUGAAAGUGUUGAAAAAUUAAGACUGUGGAAUUUUUAAAGUUGUUUAGGUUUUAUGUUGUGGUAUUAAUAUGAUAUUUCAGGAUAAACAAAAAAGGAAGGGUUAUGAUUUCAUAGUAAUGUAUUGGUUUGUCAAACUGACAAAAGGUCAGUUGUCCUGGUUGUGUGUGUGUGUGUGUGUCAACUUGACACAAAAUUGUCAUCCUCAAUUGAGAAAAAUGCCUCCAUUAUCUUGACUGUGGGUAAGUCAUUAAUUUUUUUAAAAUAUAUCAUUUUAUGCAUA